RNAcentral lists this ribosomal RNA (501 nucleotides) under uncultured bacterium. RNAcentral describes it as "partial 16S ribosomal RNA". It matches the Rfam family "Bacterial small subunit ribosomal RNA", at positions 30 to 523 of the family's 1533-position model. The record is from RNAcentral.
AUUGAACGCUGGCGGCAGGCUUAACACAUGCAAGUCGAGCGGGGGAAGGUAGCUUGCUACCGGACCUAGCGGCGGACGGGUGAGUAAUGCUUAGGAAUCUGCCUAUUAGUGGGGGACAACAUCUCGAAAGGGAUGCUAAUACCGCAUACGUCCUACGGGAGAAAGCAGGGGAUCUUCGGACCUUGCGCUGAUAGAUGAGCCUAAGUCGGAUUAGCUAGUUGGUGGGGUAAAGGCCUACCAAGGCGACGAUCUGUAGCGGGUCUGAGAGGAUGAUCCGCUACACUGGGACUGAGACACGGCCCAGACUCCUACGGGAGGCAGCAGUGGGGAAUAUUGGACAAUGGGGGGAACCCUGAUCCAGCCAUGCCGCGUGUGUGAAGAAGGCCUUAUGGUUGUAAAGCACUUUAAGCGAGGAGGAGGCUCUUUUGGUUAAUACCCAGAAUGAGUGGACGUUACUCGCAGAAUAAGCACCGGCUAACUCUGUGCCAGCAGCCGCAGUAA